This 2016-nucleotide long non-coding RNA is filed under the name Homo sapiens (human). RNAcentral's name for it is "HSALNT0334368". The record is from RNAcentral. Lineage: Eukaryota; Metazoa; Chordata; Mammalia; Primates; Hominidae.
GAGUCCUCCGCGACAUCCGGGCCAGCGUCUGCACCCAGCCACGUGUCCUGCCCCUGAAACACUCUGUCUUCCUGCUUUGAGGACAGCUGAAGUCUUGCCACUUCUUCUGGAUGCUCUGACCAUCAGUAAGAGACACGGUCUGACUUUGUUACCCCGGCUGGAGUGCAGUGGUGCAAUCAUGGCUCACUGCAGCCUUAACCUCCUGGGCUCAAGUGAUCCUCUCGCCAAGGCUAGGAUAAGUAGCUAGGACUACAGAUGCGCCCCAUCACGCCCAGCUAAUUUUACAACUUCUGUAGAGAUGGAGUGUUGCUGGGUUGCCCAGGCUGGUCUUGAAUUCCUGGGCUCAAGCGAUCCUCCUGUGUCCGGAAUUGGUGGGUUCUUGGUCUCACUGACUUCAAGAAUGAAGCCGCGGACCCUCGCGAGUCUGUAUCCACCAGCUACUCUUCCAGAUUCAUGAGGCAAGGCCUGCCUGCUCACCUGGCUGGCCCCAAGCACCUCUUCAACCUGUUGCCACCGUCCUGCCUUGCUGCCCUUCUCAGCUCAUCCAGCAGGGUCUCCAAGUCGUGGAAACAGAAGCACAUAUACACACAUGCUCAUAUGUACAUGCCCACAGUCACAUAAGCACACCGAGAAACACCAUCGCAGACAUGUUCUCACAAGCACAUGUGCAUAACACUCACUACCCCUCACGCGUAUACACAUUAAUACACACACUCAUGCACACUCAGUCUUACACACACAGACACACAGCCAUAAUCACUGUUGUUGGUUGAAUUGUGCCCCCCCAUCCCCACCAAAAAGAUAAGUUGGAGUCCUAACCCCCAGUACCUGGGGAUGUGACCGUAGUUGGAAAUAGGGUGUUUGUAGAUGUAAUCAAAUUAAGAUGAGAUCUUACUGGAUUAGAGUGGGCCUUAAAUCCAGUGACUGGUGUCCUUAUAAGGAGAAAAAGAUUUGAAAACAGAGACAUGGAGACACAGAGCAGAAGGCCAUGUGAUGAUGGAGUCAGAGAUUGGAGUGAUGCAGCUAUGAGCCGAGAAAUACCAAGGUGCUGGCAGCCCCCAGAAGCAAGGAGAGAGGCAAGGAACAAUCUCCAUCAGAGCCUCUGGAAGAAACAGACUCUGCCAACACCUUGAUUUCAGACUUUUGGCCUCCUUCACUGUGCGAGAAUACGUUUCUGUUGUUUUAAACUACUGAGUCACCAAGUCUGUGGUACUGUGUUAUGGCAGCCCCGGCAACAAAUCCAAUCACACACACACACACACACACACACACACACACACACACACACACACACACAGCUGGCUCCAGGCUCAGUGAUGAGCUCAGAGGAGUUCCCCUUGGGAGCUGCUCUUUCUCUGUCUUCCUUCCUUAGUGAUUGGUCCAGUGGAUCCACAAAAGCUCAUGGCCCAGAGCAGGAGCCCAGUCAUUUUUAAUUCCUCUUCCCUGGAGUUCUUAACCAUGCGUUGCCCUCAAAAUCUGCUCUCAAGAUUUGGGUUGCCAUAUUUAGGAGCACCAGAAAACAUACAGGAAUGCUGUGUCUGCUUGCAUCAUAUUAAUUAAAAACUGGAAAUAACCUAAAUGUCCCAGAAUAGGUACAUAAACUGUGGCAUAUCCACUUAAUGGAAUACUACUCAGCAAUACAAAAGGAAAACCUAGUGUUACUUGAGCAACAUGGAUGAACUUCACAGACAUAAUAUUGCACAGCACGAGGCAGACACAAAAGUGUGCAUAUGCUAUGAUUCCAUUUACAUGAGAUUCAAGAACAGGCAAAGCAGAUCUAUGGGGAUAGAAGUCAGAAUAGUGGUUACCUCUGGAAGGUGGAAUUGACUGGGAGGGGCUUCAGGGAACCUCCUGGGGUGCUGAAAACAUUCUGUGCUUGCACCGGGUGGUGGUUAUGUGGGCAUUACAUAAAAUUCACCAAGCUGCACCCUUAAUGAUUUGUACAAUUUGAUGCACAAAUCUAACAUCUCAAGAAGAAUAAAUUUUACAAAGUACCUAAGAAGCAAAUGACCAGAA